AAUUAAGUCUAUUUCUCCCCCACAAGUUCUUAUCCAACCCUUUCUCUUCUCUUCUAUUCUCUACUCUUCUCUCCUCUAUUUCUACCCUAAUCCCAAUCUCUAUCUCUCUACCUCAAUUCUCUAUCUCUAUCACUAUCUCUAUCCUUCCCUCACCUCUUACCUCAAAUUCCUCUUAAUUCUUAUCCCAAUUCGCUACUCAGAUCGGGCUGUUACAAAUUGGGUGCUAUUCAGAUCAGGCUGAUACGAUGAUUGGGUUAUUACAAGCUGGAAAAGCAAAGGCAGAAAAGCGAGAAAUUGAUAACUACAAAGAUAAACCCCCUUGGAAGAAAAUUCCUGCAGAUAGGUGGAAGAGGAUUGACAUCAAGUGCCUACCUGAUGACACUGAUGUGUUCUGCAGGCAAAUGCAAAGCAGGGCACUGGAAGACUAUCGAGCCAGAUCGGAGAACUUAAGAGUUCAAAAACCAAUCCACAAUUCUAACCUGGCAGAGGCUUGCCAAGUGUGGGGCUUUGCGAAUGAAUACAACGAACUAGGGGCAAUGCUCAAAAUGCCACACCCUUGUUCAUUGUCAUUGGCCUACGAACAAGCCAAGCUGAAGGAAUCUAAUGGAGAAUGGGCUGUUGGACUUCACACUUCAGGAAUAUGGCAAAUUUAUCAUAGAAUUGAACUGUUCUUUCGCUGCGCAGGAAUGAUCAGGAAUUUACAACAGUUAGUGCAAGAAUAUGACAGUUACUUGCGAGUUGAGUGGGAAAAUAAGCCGAAACAGAGCUAUAUAUGGUGGUCCCUUGCAGAAGGAUGGGUUGGCGACAAUUUCCACACUUCAACACAAGUGCAAUUCUUUCGAGCUGUAUUUGGUUAUUUUCCACCAGCCUAUGUAUCAAUCCUUUCGGAGAAUACUCUAGUGGAGUUGAUUUCAAGUCGGAGUAAGCAAAGUGAGCAGGACAGACACAAGGUUAUAGAGCAAUUAUGCUUGAAGUUGUUACUCUGUGAGCAACCUAUCAUGUCUCUGGAAGGGUAUCUGAGGCUCACAAUUAACCAAUUUGGACUUUACUAUAUCUCGGAGCAAACAAGAUCGGCGGCGCGCAGGUUGCGACUACCUGAUGGUCCCAAGGGUGAACUCCUGCCCCAACAGGGCCGCCGUCCAUGCUACCAGCCGGAGGAGAUGGUCGAGUGUAGACAUAAUUGGAAAACACCUCAGAUCGGCGCAAGGGGGCAAGAAAACAGAGCAAAGGAUUCGAAAUGUGGGUUAAAAGAAGUAACUUGGAAGGAGAAGAAGUGCUACUUAGGAGGCAACUGGGCACUCCCAAACCCAGUUCAAAUAUGUUCAUGAGCUCCAGCCUUGAGGACAAGGAUGAAAUUAAGGGGAAGGGAUUGUAACAACCUGGGAAAAUAAUAGUAGUAGUUAGUAAAAUGGGGAAAAAGAUAACAACUUUACUCAGUUAGGAAGGGAUAAGCGGCAGCCGCAAGGUGGAGGAAGGGGAGCUCGAGAAGCUGAUCAGACGGUAAGGUGCUUCCGAAUCAAAGAGGAGGAGGGGGAGGAGGAGAUCGAGCGGAGAGCGGCAAGCUGGAUCUAGGCGAGGGAGCGUAGUAGCUUCCGCUCUGGCGGGUCGGGCGACCCAAUCCGAGGAUCGGCGCGCAAAUCCGAGGGUCAAGCGGAGGGGUACCCGAUAACCCGCGCCCGAUUACAAGGCUCCAGGGACCUGCUAAGCUCAAACCGAGGCCCAAGGUACCGCCGGCCCACACCUCUAUUUACCAAUUUUACAAUAUAGCCCUCGUAGAAUAGUUUAAUUACAUUUCCAUACAAGUUGCAUAGAGUAUAUUUAUAGUUAACCUGAUGUAAUUGGAAGGGAUGAAUGAAAUGAAAUGAAUUAAGUCUAUUUCUCCCCCACAAGUUCUUAUCCAACCCCUUUCUCUUCUCUUCUCUUCUCUACUCUUCUCUCCUCUAUUUCUACCCUAAUCCCAAUCUCUAUCUCUCUACCUCAAUUCUCUAUCUCUAUCUCUAUCCUUCCCUCACCUCUUACCUUAAAUUCCUCUUAAUUCUUAUCCCAAUUCGCUAAAUUGGAGGCCGUAGUAUACCCAUCAUCCCCGUCGCCAUACCAUCUCAGCAAAUUCUCAUCC
This 2116-nucleotide long non-coding RNA is filed under the name Ananas comosus (pineapple). RNAcentral's name for it is "long non-coding RNA (ACOM_LNC017733)". The record is from RNAcentral. Lineage: Eukaryota; Viridiplantae; Streptophyta; Magnoliopsida; Poales; Bromeliaceae.